This is a long non-coding RNA of Gallus gallus (chicken), 8945 nucleotides long. RefSeq lists it as uncharacterized. NCBI's taxonomy places the organism in Eukaryota, Metazoa, Chordata, Aves, Galliformes, Phasianidae. The transcript is spliced from 2 exons. The record is from RefSeq and is a predicted model, not a curated record.
GAGUGCAUUAAGAGGAUACUGAGAUCUCCAGAACUGUUUCUGUGUAUUAAUCUAAACCUUGGCACAGCUAUGCGAUUUGAAAUCCUCAUUAAGACUGGGGUUUCUUUCUUGGUAGGAAGAAAAUGUUUCAGGCUGUGUUGUUCGGGGACGCCUGCUAUUCUGAGAAGGCAGCAGCCCCUCCUCCAUUCAGCAGAAAUAUUGUCAGAAACUGUGCUCUCUCCCCAGACUAACAGAAAUGAUUCUUCCAACAAGAUACACCCGCAUCUUCAUUACUCUUCUUCUCUUUACAUAGCCUGGGGAAAGGAAGUCCAGAGAGAGGUGAGUUUUAAAACAUAUCUAGAAACAUAUCUGGAGCAUCAACUAAUAAUAUGCACCCGGUUUCAAGGAGCAGUUUUUUGGAGGGUCGUGCAUGGGCUUUAGAGCAUGGAGGAAUUCAGAAACAGAGGGGCAGAAUGCCACAGUUCAGACUGAAAGCCAUUUCUCGUGGUUCCCUGUCCUCAUUCCCUACUGCCCACCCUUGCAGAAAGGAACAGCAGUAACAACAUAACAUCUAUUACUGGGAGCCUUCCAGGUUCUCGUUGUGUGUUGUUUGUUAGCGCUGUGAAGUGAGCAACGACAGUGAACGAAGGCAGACAGUCACCGUUUUCUUUCCUUUAGUUUUAUUUCAUAGGUAUGUGUAGUGGCUUAAAGCAUGACAGGAGCAGUGCUCACUCAUGGCCCCUUGUGUGGAGUGGAGACAGGAGGUCUGUAGUGUCCUAUGAUCUCCAGCUGCCACUGUGGAAGGGAGGAUCAGUGGCAAAAUUGCUGGUUUGUGUCUCACUUGCCAUCCACCAGUGCCCCCAGACUUUCUUCAGCAGGGCUGUGCUCUAUCCUUACAUCCUCCAGCCUGUAAUGAUAGUGGGGUUGCUACAAUCCAGGUGCAGAGCUUGCACUUGGACUUCUUGAACCUCAUGAGGUCCACCUGGGCCCACUCCCCUGUCUCGGUCUCUCUGGAUGGCAUCCCUUCCCUCAGGCAUGUCGGCUGCACCACACAGCUUCGUGUCAUCUGCAAACCGCUGAUGAGUUUGCAAACUCAAUCAGUGUCACUGAUGAAGACGUUAUAGAGCACUGGUCUCAGUGCAGACCCCUGAGGGACCCCACUUGUCACUGAUCGCCAUUUGGACAUUGAGCCAUAGACCACCACUCUCUGAGUAUGGUGUUGUGACCAGUUCUUUGUCCAUCCAACAGUCCACCCAUCAAAUUUCUUAUUUAGCUUCUGACCUUCCUGUGAAACUACCCCCCAUCCCCUCACUGACGACUCAAGCAAAGACAUUUAAUUCCCCAGGCUUGUGAGUGUGUCCAAGGCUGAGCAUGCCUAAAUGGGAGUGACCUCUAACUGGUUGACAUCUCCUGCUAGAAGGGAUACCUGAGAUUACAAAGCUGUGAUGCUCUCUGGAGCUGAGAUGAUAAUUAAUGUGACUAAGGUAUCACACACGUGUGAGUGAUGACUGUUCAACCACCAUGCUGAUGGCAGCUCUUUCCUUGCCUAUAAGACCUCUGGUUGGGUUUCUUCUGGGCAGACAUUUAAUAUGAAUCCCACUUUUAAUAAUGAACAAGAUAAUGGAGAAGACUGGCUGUCCCUGAGCAGAAGUCCCACUGGGGCCCUGAUGAUGAUCCCACCAGGGCUCAUGAUGCUCUAUAUAAUAAAUUGCAAGUGAAGAGUCCUUCCCACAACAUUUCUUCCUUAUUCUGAGUAGUUUGCAGACAGUUAGCUUAGGGAUUCAUUAAUUUAGCACUUCUUUGUUAGCCAAAUGCAACCUGCCUAUUGCCAUGCAAGGCUCUCCUGCAUGGCUUUUAUUGAGGAAGAAGGAAGCUGUGUGCCUGCCUCAAACACUAUGAACACAGCCAUCCAGCUGGGUUGAUUUGUCAGAGUUCAACACAGAAUCGUAGAAUGGCUGGGGAUGGAAGGGACCUCAAAGAUUUUCUAGUUCCAACUCUCCUGCCAUGUUCAGGAUUGCCCACUUCUAGGUCAAGCACUGAUCAGGCAGCUCAGGGUCCCUGAGGGACAGGUUUUUCCUGCCAAAUUGCCUUGUGCUUCCUAUGUAGAGCAGUUCCAUAAGGGAAUGGAUAACCAGAAAAGCCUGACCCAAACGCAGGACUUGCAUAGAAGACAUUUUGCUGCAGUUUAGACAUCUGAGUCCAAACAGCCAGGCUGCAACUCUUCCCUCUGCUCUUCCACGACUGCUGUCAGCCCUGGAGCUGCACACAGCCGGGCACCAUAUUCUUUGAGACUGUGCCUGCUCCUGCUCAACUCUGCUCAGUUCUGAGGAAGCCCUGGUGAUGCAGGACAGAGUGUUCCUCUACUACGGCCAUCUCUGCCCCACUGCUGCCAGCCCUGCAACACUCCCUUCGAGCAUGGCUGGAGGACCAGGGUGGUGUGGAGUCCUGGCAGCCAUUAGACAGCCAAACACAAGCCAGUUGUCUUCCUUUUUCUUGGGCAAGAUCCAUUCUGGCAGUCUACAGGAGGAAAGUGGGCUGAGUGGAGUGAUUGUUCUGUUCACCUAGGUCACCUCUCUGUUCAUUGUGACUUUUCCAUCUAACAAGCAUAAAAUUUUACCUCAAUUUAUCUGAGUCCCUCACUGAGUUGGCCUGAGCUCAGUUGCUGUCAGUGGAAAAUACUGACAUCUGAAAUACUGACUCUGAGGUUACGAAACCAAACAGCCAGCUGCUCAUGUGCUGCAUGGUGGCAAACAGCUCUCUGCACGUCUCACUCUUCCUCGUUGCUGCUCUCAUGGUUCUUCUCAGCGGGGGUCUCACGUCUUCGUUCCGGAGGAUGGUGGAGGUGGGUGUCUGGGACAGGCUGUGAUGGGCUUCUUGGAGAUGUUGCUUGAAAUCAAAGAUAGUGCAUCACAGAGAGUGGGACAUUCCAUUUACGUAAAGGGAAAAACAAAAUCAACCUGUUUUUCAGCUCUGCAUUUAGGGGAAUGGGAGAUUUCUUCUCCUCACCAGGGCUGCGGUCCAGGCUCGCACUGACUAAACCCGAGAGCAAAAAAUGCAGAAAAUCUGUGGAAAUCACCAGGCAGAAAGAGACCGCAGGAGGAAAACUGUGCAACUUUUCAUAUUUAACUUCGUUGCAAGGAACCUGCGUUAUGGGAAAUAUUUGCCAUGGUGCUAUUAAUGAAACCCGCCAAACAAAUAGUGAGUGGCUACACAGUUUUCCUGCACAUUAAUAACCAGAUAGAGCAUAAUAUUUAAUCUAAUCAUUUAGUCUGUAACGGGACUAGCUGUUCCUGUGCUUUUAAUUACAGCUUUCAUUUUAAGCUAUCUGUACAAAUUGGUGAGAUUGAUGAAGAACACCGAACGCCAUCCCUCUGCCUUGUGGCUCCACGUGCCUUUGAGCAGGAGAUCUGUUUCAUCUGGUAAAGAGCUGGGGUUCCUCUGGACAAAUAUUUCAGCCUUCAUUCCCUUUUGAAUGAACGGGCUGCAGAGAAAUCGAAACCAGCUCACAGUGGGUGCACGGCGAUGACUGCAGAGCGUUGUCUGACUCUCACAGGGCAGCAAAGAGGGUUUCAGUUUUUGGCACGUGUCUGGGAUGAGGUGGACAUUCUUCUUGUUUCUCACUGAUUAAUUCUAGUCUUACCCGCAUGCUUCUCAUGACCGAGCCUAUUGCUUCUGUUAGCGAGUGAUCUCCAGUCUGUGGCCAGGUGGCUGUGCAGUGAAUGGGAAAACCAAGAUGUCAUGUCUGUGAGCGGGAUGCAGGACUCUUGUUCAUGUUGAAAGACCCAAAAUUACUGUGUGUUGGUGCAUUGUUCACUUUGGGUUUGUGUUUUGAAUGCAGAUUUGGUUUCUGCAUUACAAAAUAAAUUACUCUCUGUGAUGAUAAACAGCACUAAGAAAAGGAUUCUUCCUAAGGCCAUUCUGCAAUAAAGACACAGAUCUCCUCCACUCUAUCAAGAAAACUCCAUUGAAAUGAGUGAUGAGUUAUCUAGCACAAUCUGAGUUUUAUUCUUUCUAUCUUCAGACAGAAAUUGGAAUUUGAAAGUCUCCAUUUACCUCUUCUGCAUUUUCCUUGUAUCUCAUGGUGGAAACCAGGUAGCCUCACAUAAGAGCUCCAGCACAGUGUGUGGCACUGGCUCAUAUAGGGUUGCCAUACCUAGCCCUGGCUAUGUAAGAAAGACAAUGUUUAGUGGACCACAGUUACUUAUGGGAAAGGAGCAUUGCAGCAAGUCGAGGCUAAAAAUGAACAAUAUUGCCUUGAAACAAAGCAGAGCGAGAUGCUGCAUCUCCUGGUACAAGUGAUGCUUUUUACAGUGAUGGGCAGAUGGGAAGCUCUUUCCCUCCCAGCAUCACUUCCCUAUCUCUCUUGGACCCCUCUGCCCCUGAAAUUAUCUCCCCUUUCCUGUCCCUCUCUUUCAGAGCUGUGUGGGGACUCAGCCAUCUCCCCAUGCCCCUCAGGGCUGUGCCCACAUGGCACACACACACACAGCCCCACAGCCGCCCUAUCCCUGUGCCAUGGCCUGGCACUGCAGCUCUCUGCAUUCGGGCAGCGCUGUUGUUUCUCUGUUUCGUUUCUGAGCGAGGCAGCCCAUGUCUACGAGGAAAUGAAAACCAGAAAGAGCAAUUUCCAGUCCUAGCAGCCCCGUCCCACAGCCCAUCUCACCCAGCCCUUGUGGGAGGUGGGUGGCUGACUCACCCCAGGCUGCUUCACUCCGGGUUAUGCUGGGGAACCUCCUGAGCCUCAUGUGCUCAUGCUGGGGUGCUGUGCCCAAAGUACUGGUGCUGGGAUGCUCUGGGCAUCACCAUGCUGGCACUGUCCUGCACCACCCUGGCAGUUGCUGAGAACUGCUGUCCUGCAGCAUCUGGAACCGGGGCAUCAGAUCUGCUCCUCCAUAGGAGGGAGAAGAUCCACUUUGAGCACAGGGUGGAUGUCAUUCUCCAGCUGUUAUUAGAAAUCAUUCUGGAGUUAAUCAAUAACCCAGGCUUGUACAUGGGGUGAGACAAGGAGCCUCCAGUGGCUGAAGGCAGAGGCAUAUUAACUCAUAUUGGACAGCACUGUCUGAGACAAAGAGUGUGAAAUUGGCUAUUGAGUGUGAAACACAGAAAGGAGGUUUUUUGAUGUAGGUCAUGAACUGGAGCAGAAAAUCUGUAUAUUUUUUUUUCCAGUUCUUUCCAUAGUUUUCAUUGUACUCACAAACACCACUCUUUCACUCUGCCCUGGAAUAAGGGCACUGAGAGAGGCUGUCAAGCAGCCUGAGUUCACACCUGUUUUGGAUCCUCAGGCCUUGCUCUGCUCAUGCACAUGAAGUUGUAGCACAUGGGAGAACCUGGGCAUUGCAUGCAAUGAAGCAGGCAGGAGCCUUGGGAUGAACACAGCACUGUGUGUCAACUUACUCUGGUCUUUGUCCCUGUUGGUUAGUUCAAAACAAGCAAACAGUGACCACCCAGCUCUUCAUCUUUGGACAAGGAACCAUUCCUGAAGUACGGUCAGGAGGUCUGUUCCAUGUGCACGCUGACCUUCCCCAUCAGUUCUGCCUAUAUACUUGGGUUUCUUCUCGAUACUGAAGUCCUAUCUGAAUGGGUUUCUACCUUCACCCAUUAAAAAAAGAUACUGGUUACAGACAGUCAAGCUGGUUUAAAUAGAACAGAAUUUGGUUAUCAUUUUAGUAUAAUACUCCCUUUACUAGAGGGGUAGAAAAAGACAGAGUCCAUGAAUGCUCAUUGAUUUUGCUGUAGCUAAUCCAAACUGAAUGAACUGAAUUUCAGGUUCACAGUGUUUUAGAUUCUGACUUUUCAAUCAGUUCUGCAAUCUGCAUGCCAACAAGACCCAGCUCAACACGCAGCUCCAGUGUUGCAUAGGAGCCUGAAAGCUCAACGGUGUGUGCUGGGACAGCCAUCCCUCUUUCCUGCAAGGCCCGUAAGAAGGGAAGUCCGUGGAGUCUUGAAAGGAAGAGUCAUCUGCAGUGACACUGCUCAAAAGCAACUCCGUAUCUUCAUGCUGGCUCUUUCUUUGCAUGCUGGGAUCCUCAAGUGCAAUGUGUGACCUACCUGGACUACUUUGGAACAAACACUGGCGCAAGAAGAGAACAUUGCAUGGGCAGAAAGUACAAGCUGUGCUCAUACAGAGUGAACUACUGGCUAUAGAAAUGUGAGUUUUGAGUGAAAGGGCUUAAAAAAUGUGCCUGUUCAAUGUGGGUAUACGGGAUGUGUCUCCAGGGCUGCCCCUGGUCUGGGGCAGAUAGACUGUGGUAGAGCAUCUCCACCUUCACCAGAUGCCAAAAUAGAGCAGAUGUGCACAGGUCAGCAUGAAGAGCUCUUUGUAAAAUGGUACGGAAAGAAGCAUGUUAUGUCCUUUUAACGGAGAGACACUGGCUUAGGUAACAGUGUUUUACUCCCUGUGGUGCUAAGCAAGUCAUAAAUCCUUGGAGAAUUGAAGUAAUAGACAUACACCCUCCCCUCUCUUCUUCCCCCUGUGACUCCACUCUUCUCCACUCCUGCAUUAAUGGAUAUUUUAAAUCUGGAAGGAAUUCAAGAGUCUGUAGUAGGUAGUUAAACAUCCAGAUGUAUCAGUAAUAAUUAUGCUCAGCUUGGGGAGGCAAGGCACUCGAAUAACAGGCAUGGUUUCCAUGGAUGGCUACAAGAUUAUAAACAUAAAAUUUAUAAGUGGAAUGGGAACAUUUGGUUUAUUUUCUCUUCUCUUUACAAUCACUGCAGUUUAAAUUGAAAACAGCGAAGGGUAGCAGAGCCAAGCAACAACCUGAAGAUUGUAAACAAAAUAAUUCAUGUCUUACUGAUGGGAUAUGGUCAUAUAAUCAGUAAAUUAAUUUAGCCUACUCUAGUUUCGCCAUUAACUUUCUAUUUUCUCAUUUCAUUGGCAUUUCCCUGCCCAGUUUAUGUCUCUCUUCAAUACAUAUUGUGCUAUAAACUAGAAGCAAAUAUCUUGAAGGGUAAAUAAAGAGGUAAUGAGUCUACAGAAAAGAUGUCAUUGAGGCACAUUAAAUCCAGGUUACUAUUUUUUAAACUUCUUGAUCCAGGAUUCCUUUUCACUCUUUGAUUGGUUUCAAAUACAGAAAUGAAAAGCCAGGAUAUUGGAUUCUUACACUGUGUCCUUAGUACCCAAUGGCACACAACGUUUCCCUGAGACAAGACAAGUAUUUACGACCCAGAAAGGAAUGGAAUGCUCACAAACCCGAGGGCAUGAAAUCAGGGUGACUCAGAACAGAAGCUGGAAAAUCGCUUCAAAAGGUCUUCCUCUCCAUCUCGGGCAGUUGCUGAUCUAAUCCAUGGGCUGGCAAGAGAGAAGCCAGUAAUUCAUGUUGAUUUAAAACCAACCUUGCUACAAAACGAAGCAGACACCUGAUAUCCAUGUGCAAAACCUGUUUGUGCAGUAGCACAUCUGUGAGCGUGUGCGAUUAGUGCAAUUAGAUAGCAAUUUAUAUGUAAAUGCCCAUCCAGUCAAAUGUGCCUUUACUUAAUUUGUGUAUGCACUGGAAUAUAAUUCCAGAGGGUUUUUCUACAUUUUUAAAAUCUGCCCCUUAAUAAUUGAACACAAGCAUUCUCACGAUGUGAACCAUAUUUUAAUCAGCAGCUUGCAUUGCUGUGACACUGCGGAGCAGGGGAUGGUGAGGGGCUGGGACAGGGAGCACGUCCCUGUGCUUGGCCAGAGCUGCUCCAUCGUGGGUCAGGGGACUUGGCUGAGCUGCUCUCUCCUGCUUGCUCUGUGAGAUGAGCAAGCCCAGUCCUUUGCGGGCUGUAAGAAGGAGGAAGACAGACUCUUUGGCACCGUCUUUUGUGAUAAGACAAGGGGAACUGGUUUCAAACUAAAGGAGGGGAGAUUUAGAUUGGAUAUAAGGAUGAAGUUUUGUUACGAUAAGGAUGGUGAGGCACUGGCACAGGUCGCCCAGAGAGGUGAUGGAUUCACAGUCCCUGAAGACAUCUAAGAUCAGGCUGGACAGUGUUCCUGAGGUGGAUAAGAUGACCUUUAAGGGUCCAUUCUAACACAAACGAUUCCAUGAUUCUAUGCCCAAACCUAUCCAUAUGUAUCCCAUGGGUUGACCCAGCACCAGGAGACACCCUAUUACCUGAGUGCUGCCCUAUGUGUGCCAGCUAUGUCUGGCCACCCCUGCCACCAGAGAAUUCAGGGUCAUUUCAGGUCCCCAGUGAUGUGCUCAUCAUCUGUCAGCACAAAACAGGAGCUCUAAUGGGUUGAAGCUGGGUCAGAUCUGGGCUCUGAUCUUCCCCAAGAGUAAAGUUUGGGUGGUUAAGCUAGGAGCUUGUGCAGAGAGAGAUGACUCAUAGGCCACUGAUAUUCUGAGAAAGACUUUGCUGUUUCUCAGGAUUCAAGCCUUGACUCUGACCCAUUGUUCAUAGGUGGGUAUCCAUUCCUCAUUCAAAAACAAAUUACACAGUAGUCCUCCUUAGUCUCCUUACAAGAACAAGACAACCUCAACUCUCCAGGUGCAGGAAGACCUCGUCAACCUCAAACUCUCUAUCCAUCCCAGCCUUUGCCAGAUGAGAAAUUUGGGUUGGUGAAACAUGUAGGGCCAAGAUAAUUAGUAGGGCCACAAUAAUAAGAGUGGGGUACGUGAGUACAACAUGACCUCUUCUCCCCAUGAAGGAUGGACUACGAUGCUGAAGUCUGAAUGCAAAGAGUACAAGUAGCAGUUGUUUGAGCACAGCACGGACACAGGUUUACCAGAAAGUGGGUAAAUCUUAAUAGCAGGAAUAUUUUAACUGUUCAGCAUGUAAACAGCAUUCUGGGCUGAUCUGAUCAAUGCUGCUUUGCAGACUACAUUUGGUAUGGGGCCAUAUAUAGUGUUCCUGGAGUUUUAUUUAAUAGGACGGCACAUUUGAUCCUAAUGUGCCAUCUCAGAAGUAAUGAAGCAGAAAAGAUCUUUAUCUUCUGUGAAAGUUGCAGUUAUUGGCAUCCAUUCAGAAAAAAAAAAAUAAAAGUAAUUGCACAAUCUUCA